UACAGAGGGUGCAAGCGUUAAUCGGAAUUACUGGGCGUAAAGCGCACGUCGGCGGUUUUUUAAGUCAGAUGUGAAAGCCCCGGGCUCAACCUGGGAAUUGCAUUUGAAACUGGGAAACUAGAGUGUGUGAGAGGGGGGUAGAAUUCCAAGUGUAGCGGUGAAAUGCGUAGAGAUUUGGAGGAAUACCAGUGGCGAAGGCGGCCCCCUGGCACAACACUGACGCUCAGGUGCGAAAGCGUGGGGAGCAAACAGG
This 253-nucleotide ribosomal RNA is filed under the name uncultured bacterium. Its description in RNAcentral is "partial 16S ribosomal RNA". It matches the Rfam family "Bacterial small subunit ribosomal RNA", at positions 524 to 776 of the family's 1533-position model. The record is from RNAcentral.